GGGGUUGUGGUUCAGUGGUAAAGUACUUGCCUAGCAUGUAUGAGGCCCUGGGUUCAAUCCCCAGCACCA
Molecule: transfer RNA, 69 nt
Filed under: Marmota marmota marmota (Alpine marmot)
Lineage: Eukaryota; Metazoa; Chordata; Mammalia; Rodentia; Sciuridae
Also listed under: 4 other names
Rfam family: tRNA
About the family: Transfer RNA (tRNA) molecules are approximately 80 nucleotides in length. Their secondary structure includes four short double-helical elements and three loops (D, anti-codon, and T loops).
Source: Rfam by way of RNAcentral